GGUUAAGGUCCGAGUACAAUGGUGUUUACCAUUAAUUGAUCACAGCCAGUUACAGGUUUCUUUACUCCUUCUCCACUUCCACUGCUUCACUUAACUAACCUUGU
This is a Y RNA of Zalophus californianus (California sea lion), 104 nucleotides long. It matches the Rfam family "Y RNA". Rfam says of the family: Y RNAs are components of the Ro ribonucleoprotein particle (Ro RNP), in association with Ro60 and La proteins. The record is from Ensembl. Lineage: Eukaryota; Metazoa; Chordata; Mammalia; Carnivora; Otariidae.